UUAUGGUUUUAAAAAUUUAUUUAAAGUUUAUUUUACAUAUAAAUUUUAGUGUUAAAUUUUAUAUAUUUUAAUAAUAAUAAUAUUUUUUGUAGUAAUUAAUAUUAAACAAUUUAAGAAAUUAUGAUUUAGUAAUAUUUUAUAAUUAAUAACAAAUUUUGUGCCAGCAGUUGCGGUUAAACAAAAGUUAAUUUAAAUUUUAUUAGUAAUUAAUAAAUAAAAAAAAAAUUAUAUUUUAUAAAUAUAAUAUUAUAAAUUAAAUUUUAAAUUAUUAGGUGAAAUUUUAAUUUAAUAUAAAUUUAUAUAAAAUUUAUGAUUUAAUAAAUUUUAUAAAAAACUAGGAUUAGAUACCCUAUUAUUAAAAUUUAAAUAUAAAAUACUAAAAUAGUAGAUAAUUAUUUAUUGAAACUUAAAUAAUUUGGCGGUAUUUUAGUUCAUUUAGAGGAAUCUGUUUAAUAAUUGAUAAUCCACGAAUAAAUUUACUUAAUUUUUUUAUUUUGUAUAUCGUUGUUAAAAAAAUAUUUUUUAAUAAUAAAUAAUAUUUAGAAAUUUAAAUAAAAAAUUAAAUCAGAUCAAGAUGCAGAUUAUAAUUAAGAAUAUAAUGGAUUACAAUAAAUUUAUUUAAAUGAAUAUUAAUUUGUAAAAUUUAAUUGAAAGUGGAUUUAAAUGUAAUUUUAUUUAAUUUGAUAAAAUGAUUGAAAAUUAAAAUAUGUACAUAUUGCCCGUCGCUUUCAUAUAAUUUAUUAAAGUUGAAAUAAGUCGUAACAAAGUAGAGGUACUGGAAAGUGUUUCUAGAAAGAA
Molecule: non-coding RNA, 798 nt
Filed under: Spodoptera exempta
Lineage: Eukaryota; Metazoa; Arthropoda; Insecta; Lepidoptera; Noctuidae
Source: RNAcentral